CAACCCUCAGGCUCCGCCUGGUGUUGGGGCUCCUGCGCACUGCAGGCCCUCAAAGGCAGCGGCGGGUGCGCCCACGAACCGAACGCAGUAGUUUUCUCUCGUUCUGGUCCCGCGGGCGUGCUCCGGCCGGUAAACCCCUUAUAACUUCAAUGG
This 153-nucleotide unclassified non-coding RNA is filed under the name uncultured Thozetella. Its description in RNAcentral is "sequence contains ITS2". Lineage: Eukaryota; Fungi; Ascomycota; Sordariomycetes; Chaetosphaeriales; Chaetosphaeriaceae. The record is from RNAcentral.